UAGUAAUGAAAGGAAAAUGGAGCCAACGG
This 29-nucleotide non-coding RNA is filed under the name Mus musculus (house mouse). Lineage: Eukaryota; Metazoa; Chordata; Mammalia; Rodentia; Muridae. The record is from RNAcentral.